This is an RNA transcript of Magallana angulata, 2904 nucleotides long. RefSeq lists it as uncharacterized. The transcript is spliced from 3 exons. The record is from RefSeq and is a predicted model, not a curated record. Lineage: Eukaryota; Metazoa; Mollusca; Bivalvia; Ostreida; Ostreidae.
UGUGCGAACCGGGACCAGGUGAGUUAAUUGAUAUAGUCUAUAUCACAGUUCCUGUGAAGAAAAUUAACAAUAGAAUAAAUAAAUCAUAUUGCUAGUAAUUGAUUUUUACAUUUAUUUUAUGUUACAAUAUAAGUUGCAUAAAAGCACAUUUACAUAAUAAUUGAAAUCCAUGUUCUUGAAUAUAAUUUCAUACAUUACAUUGGUCAUAACCAUUUUCAUUUAGUUCUUCAAACUAUAUAAUGAUUAUUCCGAAAAUUUUGUACAUGUGAAUAUAAUUUCAUACAUCAAAUUGGUCAUGAACAUUUUCAUUUAGUUCUUCAAAAUAUAUAAUGAUUAUUGCGAAAAUUUUCUACAUGUGAAUAUAAUUUCAUACAUCAAAUUGGACAUGAACAUUUUCAUUUAGUUCUUCAAAAUAUAUAAUGAUAAUUGCGAAUUUUUUUUACAUGUGGUGCUUUUCUUUAACAUACUGCCUUUGGGAAGAACAUGAUUAUGAAAAUGUUUAUGAAAUAUAAUACAAUUUAUUACAUACUUACUAAUAAAUACAAAGUUUUUGCAUAUGCGAUACAGCUAACUUUAGAACACCAGUAUCAGUCUCCGGGGCUGAUACGGAUUCUGCAGGGCUGAUAUCGAUCUACAGGGCUGAUACGGAUCCGUAUCGCACCCCUUGCGGAACCACUCUGGUUUUAACUCUUUCAGAAAUGGGCCGUAUUGUAGUUACUCUUUUCAGAACACCUCUGUUUUUUACCGCUUCGGCGUUUGUGUACAUUUGCAGACGGUAAAACUAAAAUGGAUAUCAAUGAAAGAACAUUUGAAUCGCUUGGAAAUAGACUUAGUGAAUUGGAAUACAUAUUUAGACUCAACGACACUGUAAGUGAAAAAACUGAUUAAGUUACGCUGGAUUUGUUAGAUUCGAAUCUAGGCCUAAGUGUACAGUCUGUAGAUGAAAACCUCGAACUUGUAACGUUACCACCUGCUGGUAUGCCCGAUGUUGAAAGGGAAACUGUGACAGACACACAAGAAGAUUCUACAUUUGAGUUUGUAAAGGGCCUUCAAAAUACCAAUACGCGUAGAAAAAUUGAAUUUGACUUGAGGAAAUUUAAUGAUUACCUAACAAAGAACGGUGAACACAGAAACCCGGAGGAAAUUCCGGUUUAUGACCUGGAUAUGCAUUUGGCAAGAUUUUUCACGAAUGCAAAGAAAGCAAGCGGCGAGGAUUAUGAACCCGACACGUUAAAGUCUAUUCAAGGGAGUGUAAACCGUUAUUUGGCUGAGAAGAAGUUGAACAUUAACAUCAUUACGGAUAAGGAGUUCAAACAUUCUCGCGAUGUACUUUUGUCAAAACGAAAGUUGCGUCGACAGCUGGGAAAGGGAAAUCGUGAAAAACGAGCAGACCCCCUAACGCAUGAAAAGAAUCUUCUUGGAACUGGAGAUCCCAAGUCACUGAUAAAUGUUUUGUAUCUUAACAACACAAUGCAUUUUGGAACGAGAAGCAGAGCUGAACAUGUCAGUCUCUGAUGGGGUGAUGUGCAGCAAAAGGUCAUCUCGACUGGAGAGGAAUAUUUAGAAUAUAGAGAAAGAUCAACAAUGACAAGAACUGGGGUCAUAAGUGAGAGUCGGAGUUUUGCACCAAACAUGUUUGAAAAUAGAGAUAAUCCGCAAUGCCCUGUUUUAGCGUAUAAAGAGUUUGCCAGGAGAAGACCAGAACAGAUGAACAACCCCGAGUCGCCAUUUUACUUAGGAGUUUCAAAGCACCCUGAAAAAGCUUGGUACGUCAACCAACCAAUGGGAAAGAAUACGAUUGGCAACAUUGUGAAGGUCACGUGUGAGGCAGGGGGAAUCCAAGGAAGAAAAGUUAACCACAGUGCAAGGAAGACAGCCAUUAGUUCCCUAGUACAUGCUGGUGUCCCCCCAACCAUAAUUCAGCAGCUGUCCGGCCAUAAGAAUGUUAACUCUAUUAAUAAUUACAGCACUGCCUCCAAUGAAAAACAGAGGCACCUGUCUUCUAUUUAAUUCUUACAAACUAUUCAUAUAGUUGCUCGGAACCACCAGUCACAGAAUUCGACAGUUCCUCUUCAUCCCUUGAUAAAUAUAGCUCAGCUCUGCCGUCCACCAGUGUGGUGCCUUCAUCAAACACUGACGACAUCAUUCAUCAAACACUUACUGAAAUAAGUUCUUAUGAAAAUCAACCCAUAAUGAAAGAGCAUGUCUUUGGCAAUUUUAGGGGGGGGGGGGGGCAAUAUUUCUGGCAAUGUUAUAUUUAACUUCUCUUCCAAACAACCAAAAUCCCUUAAGAGAUGUUGAGUCAUCUACAGUGAUUCAGAGUCAGAUUCAGAAAAAGGAACUAGAUCUGUGAUAUCUUGUAAAUAUGUUCAAAUAUUAAAAGUGAAGUUGUGUUAUAGCUUUAACUGUGAUAUUUUCUUUGUUAUAAAAUUUUGUUAUUGUCAAAAAAUAUGAAAGAUUAUUUGUGUUCAAAUUGUUUGUUAAGUUUACCAGUAAUGUGUUAAAUUUUGUAUUUAUACAUGUAUCAUAUUGUUAAAAAUGAAAUUUGAAUCAUUUAUGUUCAUAAGAAAAAGGAACUGGGUCUGUUUUAUCUUUUAAAUAUGUUCAAAUAUUAAAAGUUAAGUUGUUCUAUAGCUAUAAAUGUGAUAUUUUUUUUUGUUUUUAAAGUUGUUUAUUGUUAAACAAUUUGAAAGAUUAUCUUUGUUCAAAUGAUCUCUUAAGUUGCUGUUUGUUAUAAUUGUGUUACCUUUUGUCUUUAUACAUGUAUCAUAUUGUACAAUGCCUUUUUAAUCACUCAGAUCCAGAACAGCUGUCGAACUGCGCAGGUACAGACUUAUUUGAAGAUUUGAAAAUCUGAAAAAAUAUGAAGGGGGCUCUUAAAAAUGAAAUAUCAUUUAUGUUCAU